GACGAACGCUGGCGGCGUGCUUAACACAUGCAAGUCGAACGGAAAGGCCCUGCUUUUGUGGGGUGCUCGAGUGGCGAACGGGUGAGUAACACGUGAGUAACCUGCCCUUGACUUUGGGAUAACUUCAGGAAGCUGGGGCUAAUACCGGAUAGGAGCUCCUGCUGCAUGGUGGGGGUUGGAAAGUUUCGGCGGUUGGGGAUGGACUCGCGGCUUAUCAGCUUGUUGGUGGGGUAGUGGCUUACCAAGGCUUUGACGGGUAGCCGGCCUGAGAGGGUGACCGGCCACAUUGGGACUGAGAUACGGCCCAGACUCCUACGGGAGGCAGCAGUGGGGAAUAUUGCACAAUGGGCGGAAGCCUGAUGCAGCAACGCCGCGUGCGGGAUGACGGCCUUCGGGUUGUAAACCGCUUUCGCCUGUGACGAAGCGUGAGUGACGGUAGUGGGUAAAGAAGCACCGGCUAACUACGUG
Molecule: ribosomal RNA, 468 nt
Filed under: uncultured bacterium
Lineage: Bacteria
Description: partial 16S ribosomal RNA
Rfam family: Bacterial small subunit ribosomal RNA
Source: RNAcentral